Molecule: ribosomal RNA, 1314 nt
Filed under: Ooperipatellus viridimaculatus
Lineage: Eukaryota; Metazoa; Onychophora; Udeonychophora; Euonychophora; Peripatopsidae
Description: SSU rRNA
Rfam family: Eukaryotic small subunit ribosomal RNA
Source: RNAcentral
GUACUCGCCUUGUCUUUUAAAGUGAAACCGCGAAUGGCUCAUUAAAUCAGUUAUGGUUCACUAGAUCGUACCUCAUCCUACUCGGAUAACUGUGGUAAUUCUAGAGCUAAUACAUGCAACUAGGCCCUGCCCGGCCGCUCUCACGGGCGGUCGGAAAGGGCGCCAUUAUCAGCCCAAAACCGACCGGGUCGCCCCGUCCGCGGGGCUCCCGUCCUUAUACCCUUUGACGACUCUGGAUAACCUUCUAGCGGAUCGCCGGUUCACUAGGUCGGCCGGGCGGCGACGUCCGCGUCCGACCUACGGCGACUAGUCUUUCGAAUGUCUGCCUUAUCAACUGUCGACGGUAGGUUAGACGCCUACCGUGGUCGUAACGGGUGACGGGGAAUCAGGGUUCGAUUCCGGAGAGGGAGCCUGAGAAACGGCUACCACAUCCAAGGAAGGCAGCAGGCACGCAAAUUACCCAAUCCCUGCACGGGGAGGUAGUGACGAAAAAUAACGAUACGGGACUCUUAACGAGGCCUCGUAAUCGGAAUGAGUCCGCUCUAAAUCCUUUAACGAGGAUCUAUCGGAGGGCAAGUCUGGUGCCAGCAGCCGCGGUAAUUCCAGCUCCGAUAGCGUAUAUUAAAGUUGCUGCGGUUAAAAAGCUCGUAGUUGGAUUUGGGUUUUCGGGCCGGCGGGCCGCCGCCUUCGAGCGGCGCGUUUCCCGCCGCGCCCCCGGAACCGCACGGUCGCAGAGGCCCCCGCGGUGCUCUUGAGUGAGUGUCCGCGGUCUCGGGUCGCCGAACGUUUACUUUGAAAAAAUUAGAGUGCUCCAGGCAGGCCGGUAAAGCGUUUUUAAACCCGCGCCUGAAUAGUCACGCAUGGAAUAAUGAAAGAGGACCGGUGGUCCUAUUUUGUUGGUUUUCGGGAUUUUCCGCCGUCAUGAUUAAGAGGGACGGCCGGGGGCAUUCGUACCGCGGCGCGAGAGGUGAAAUUCUAGGACCGUCGCGAGACGAACCGUUGCGAAAGCAUUUGCCAAGAAUGUUUUCCUUAAUCAAGAACGAAAGUCAGAGGUUCGAAGGCGAUCAGAUACCGCCCUAGUUCUGACCGUAAACGAUGCCACCUGACGAUCCGCCAGGGUUACUACCAUGACUCGGCGGGCAGCCCCCGGGAAACCCAAGCCUUCGGGUUCCGGGGGAAGUAUGGUUGCAAAGCUGAAACUUAAAGGAAUUGACGGAAGGGCACCACCAGGAGUGGAGCCUGCGGCUUAAUUUGACUCAACACGGGGAACCUCACCCGGCCCGGACACCGCGAGGAUUGACAGAUUGAGAGCUC